RNAcentral lists this ribosomal RNA (253 nucleotides) under uncultured bacterium. RNAcentral's name for it is "partial 16S ribosomal RNA". It matches the Rfam family "Bacterial small subunit ribosomal RNA", at positions 524 to 776 of the family's 1533-position model. The record is from RNAcentral.
UACGUAGGGUCCGAGCGUUGUCCGGAAUUACUGGGCGUAAAGGGCGCGUAGGCGGCCUGCUAAGUCGAACGUGAAAUCCCUGGGCUCAACCCAGGAACUGCGUCCGAUACUGGAAGGCUUGAAUCCGGGAGAGGGAUGCGGAAUUCCAGGUGUAGCGGUGAAAUGCGUAGAUAUCUGGAGGAACACCGGUGGCGAAGGCGGCAUCCUGGACCGGCAUUGACGCUGAGGCGCGAAAGCCAGGGGAGCAAACGGG